This 404-nucleotide ribosomal RNA is filed under the name uncultured bacterium. RNAcentral's name for it is "bacterial SSU rRNA". It matches the Rfam family "Bacterial small subunit ribosomal RNA", at positions 9 to 416 of the family's 1533-position model. The record is from RNAcentral.
GAGUUUGAUCAUGGCUCAGAUUGAACGCUGGCGGCAUGCCUUACACAUGCAAGUCGAACGGCAGCGCGGGGCAACCUGGCGGCGAGUGGCGAACGGGUGAGUAAUAUAUCGGAACGUACCCUGGAGUGGGGGAUAACGUAGCGAAAGUUACGCUAAUACCGCAUACGAUCUAAGGAUGAAAGUGGGGGCUUCGCAAGAACCUCAUGCUCCUGGAGCGGCCGAUAUCUGAUUAGCUAGUUGGUGGGGUAAAGGCCCACCAAGGCUUCGAUCAGUAGCUGGUCUGAGAGGACGACCAGCCACACUGGAACUGAGACACGGUCCAGACUCCUACGGGAGGCAGCAGUGGGAAUUUUGGACAAUGGGCGCAAGCCUGAUCCAGCAAUGCCGCGUGAGUGAAGAAGGCC